UUGAACGCUGGCGGCAUGCUUUACACAUGCAAGUCGAACGGCAGCGCGGGCUUCGGCCUGGCGGCGAGUGGCGAACGGGUGAGUAAUACAUCGGAACGUGCCCAGUAGUGGGGGAUAGCUCGGCGAAAGCCGGAUUAAUACCGCAUACGACCUGAGGGUGAAAGCGGGGGAUCUUCGGACCUCGCGCUAUUGGAGCGGCCGAUGGCAGAUUAGCUAGUUGGUGGGGUAAAGGCCUACCAAGGCGACGAUCUGUAGCUGGUCUGAGAGGACGACCAGCCACACUGGGACUGAGACACGGCCCAGACUCCUACGGGAGGCAGCAGUGGGGAAUUUUGGACAAGGGGCGAAAGCCUGAUCCAGCAAUGCCGCGUGUGUGAUGAAGGCCUUCGGGUUGUAAAGCACUUUUGGCGGGAACGAAAAGGACUGUGCCAAUACCACGGUUCGAUGACGGUACCCGCAGAAUAAGCACCGGCUAACUACGUG
Molecule: ribosomal RNA, 483 nt
Filed under: uncultured bacterium
Lineage: Bacteria
Description: partial 16S ribosomal RNA
Rfam family: Bacterial small subunit ribosomal RNA
Source: RNAcentral